This is a long non-coding RNA of Toxorhynchites rutilus septentrionalis, 1553 nucleotides long. RefSeq lists it as uncharacterized. The record is from RefSeq and is a predicted model, not a curated record. NCBI's taxonomy places the organism in Eukaryota, Metazoa, Arthropoda, Insecta, Diptera, Culicidae. The transcript is spliced from 4 exons.
CUUUCAGCCAUCUUGGAAUUGUAUGUAAACAAUCUGCAAUAUUUUGCAAUAUCUUUUUUUUGCUCUUUGUGUGUGGAAUUGUAUUGGUGGGAAUAAGAGCAUUGAAAAGUUGAAAGCUCAAGAGAAUAAAUCGUGUCAGAGAAAUCUCAGUGUCGGUUGGUGAUGGAGAUACCCACAAUCCAAUCGACGAAAAAAACAUCGACCUAACAACGACCGUAACGCUGUUACCUAUUCACGAUGACGACGAUUAGGUAUCGACAUCUGGAUACGGCAUUAGUUUGUAUGAGGCAAACUAUUCUCUAUCAUAUUAGUCGGCCCGAAUCAGUUUAUAUUUGCUAAAAUUUGUAUGAAAUUUUUUUCUUGGCAUAAUUUUUUCUACUUAAAGUACGUUGUCAUGACCGUUUAGAUAUUCUCAAAAAAACUUGUCAUUAUAAUAUAAAAUUAUCUCAAAACAUAUUUUUUAUGACGUUUUUUCACCACUUGCAGGAAAUGGUGAUUUUCACUUACAUAGAGUACUAAUUUGAUUAAGGAAAAAUCAUGUUCAUUCAUAAUUUUGAUUUUAAAAGUGUAUUCAUUCCUUCUGCAAAUCCAUACUGUCAUGCCUAUUCCCCAAUAUCGCCAACGCGGAUAGUUCGUUAGUCGAAAAUACUGAAUAAUUAAACAAACCAAAUGGCAUCACUGGUUGUUCUUUUUUCCACUCCGCUAAACUGUCAUCUCAAACAAAAACAAAUGGAUCAUACAACUGCUAUGAAUACAUUCGACUCGUUUGCUUCCAUCAAUCGGUAAGUGAGAAAGAUGAUUUCUCCCAUCACCACAGUGCGGAUUUCCACUUCUAUCACAGCAGCCAACAACAUCCGUUUUCCUGCUGCAGUAACCUCCAACCCCUGUUGGCAAUGCCGGGGGACAGCAUUAACAGCAGCAGCAGCAGAAUUUGACCAUGGUAUGGUAUUGCGAAGAACUUUCCCCAUUAGAGGUUCCGUGCUUCGCGCACAUUCAAAAAUCCUCUUCAGACACGAAAACUCAACGACAAGGAGGUAUUUAUCAACUUGCUCAGCUGAAUUACCACCCGGAGGAACCCGAAUGCACUGAUUCCGUUGUAUAGUAGAAUGAAAAUAGGCGAGGUAAGCGAACGUAAUCGCAUGAUAUUUUAAUGUUCGCAUUUUUAUCCGGAUCAUAUAACUGCUAUGAAUACAUCCGACUCAAUCAAUCGGCGAAUGAGAAAGAUGAUUUCCCUCAUCACCACAUUGCUUAUUUCCACUUAUGUCACACCAGCCAACAGCAUCAGCUUUCCCGCAGCAGUAUCCUUUAAGUCCAGGGUGCUAUUCCGGGGAACAGCAUCAACAGCAACAGCAGCAGGACCUGGCCAUAGUAUUUCGAGCAAUUUUCCCCAUCGGAGAUCCCGUGCUUCACGCACAUUGAAGAAUCCUCCUCAGCCACAUAUCUGUGUCAUCGAGGGCAAAGAGGUAUUCAUCAAUGUACUCAGUCGGAUUUGAAUUGUCAAUCCAGACAACCCGGAUGCACCGAUUCCAUUAUAUACCUUAUUUUUAUUAUAC